Molecule: ribosomal RNA, 922 nt
Filed under: uncultured archaeon
Lineage: Archaea
Description: bacterial SSU rRNA
Rfam family: Archaeal small subunit ribosomal RNA
Source: RNAcentral
UUCCGGUUGAUCCUGCCGGAGGCCAUUGCUAUCGGAGUCCGAUUUAGCCAUGCUAGUCGUGCGAGUUCAGACUCGCGGCACCGAGCUCAGUAACACGUGGCCAAACUACCCUACAGAGACGGAUACCCUCGGGAAACUGAGGUUAACCCGUCAUACCGAUCUCAGGCUUGAAUCGCAGAGAUCACAAAAUGCCCCGGCGCUGUAGGAUGUGGCUGCGGUUGAUUAGGUAGACGGUGGGGUAACGGCCCACCGUGCCCAUAAUCAGUACAGGUUGUGAGAGCAAGAACCUGGAGACGGAAUCUGAGACAAGAUUCCGGGCCCUACGGGGCGCAGCAGGCGCGAAACCUUUACACUGCACGCACGUGCGAUAAGGGGACUCCGAGUGCGAGGGCAUAUCGUCCUCGCUUUCGUGUACCGUAGGGUGGUACACCAACAAGGGCUGGGCAAGACCGGUGCCAGCCGCCGCGGUAAUACCGGCAGCCCGAGUGAUGGCCGAUCUUAUUGGGCCUAAAGCGUCCGUAGCUGGCUGCGCAAGUCCGUCGGGAAAUCCACUCGCCCAACGAGUGGGCGUCCGACGGAAACUGCACAGCUUGGGACCGGAAGGCUCGAAGGGUACGUUCGGGGUAGGAGUGAAAUCCCAUAAUCCCGCACGGACCACCGAUGGCGAAAGCACUUCGAGAAAACGGAUCCGACAGUGAGGGACGAAAGCCAGGGUCUCCAACCGGAUUAGAUACCCGGGUAGUCCUGGCCGUAAACAAUGUUCGCUAGGUAUGACACAGACUACGUGUCUCUGUUGUGCCGUAGGGAAGCCGAGAAGCGAACCGCCUGGGAAGUACGUCUGCAAGGAUGAAACUUAAAGGAAUUGGCGGGGGAGCACUACAACCGGAGGAGCCUGCGGUUUAAUUGGAGUCAACGCCGGGAA